AGAUAGCAGGAGGCAAAUAUCCAUGCUUCUCUUCUUCUUUCGUCUUGUUAUUCAGAAAAAAAUAAAGUUCUUAUUCCAUCAGUGAGAAAUCGAUUCAAUCAGAAAGUCAAUCUAAGUUAUCUCUUCUUGAGAUGCUCUCUGGUCGUAUGCGUAUUGUUCUAUUAUGUCGUUCUGUGCUAUUAUGUCUUCGUUUGAUUGUGUUCUAACGCCAUCUGUUUCAUCAGCAAGUUAACAAGUCGAUUCCAUCUGCAAGCUUUGAGAUCGAUUUCAUCGGCACGCUAGUUUGGGGAUUUCGAUGUGGUUUAGGGCUGACUUCGUUUCCCAAAAACUUAUGGGAACUGAAAGUUCCAUAUCUUAUAUACUGUGGAGUUUUGAUGGAACAUGAUAACUUAAAAUGGCCCUGCAGAACGGUUUGACAGCUCUCCAACAGAGAAAACUUAAUGGUGAGUAAUUGAUAGCAAAUAUAUAAUCCACCAGGGCAUUCAAAAUUCGGGUAUUCCAUCAUUAGAAAGGUAAUAGUCUACACUAUAUCCAUAGAAGCCAUGUUAUUAUUAUGAUUAUAGUUUACAUAAUGAUCUUAUUAGAAGUUUAUAGACUUCUAAUAAAAGAGACUACAUUUUUUCGAUUGUAAACUUCCAGUCUAAUCAUUGUUGAAAUUCCAUUGUAAACAAAAAGACUACAUAUUUCUUUUGUUUCGCCAAAACAAGAGUUUGAGCUCGGAGACUGAUCACUUCCGGUAGUGGUAUCAGGAUGUUUUUCCUACUAUUUUCAUCCUGAUAUAUAAUGAUUGUGGUUGAUUAAUUCUCCCCCUCACCCUUGGAAUCACGUAAGACUCUUACUGCAACAUAGAUUUCUUUGGAAAGUUUGCUUUUUUAAACAAUUCCAUGACUUCCUUCUCCUAUGUUUUCCGUAAAAUCAUCUAUUUUCUUAAAUAUUUUGCAUAAGAAUAUCUAGUUGGUCUUGUGACCUUGUAGUCUUCUAAAAACUUUCAAGUCUAACUUGAUCCUCUCUUCAUUUUUAAUUGUCAAAUUAAAUUGAUAAAAUGUGAGAAUAAAGUUUGAUCCUAUUCAUGGAGAUUCCGUAACUAUUCAAAAAAUGGAAAGUUCGACACAAUUGGGAUUUUUUUUUUUGGAAAUUGGAAGCAGUUACUAAUUCAUGAUCUGGCAUUUACAGAA
Nicotiana attenuata is the source of this 1175-nucleotide long non-coding RNA. RefSeq lists it as uncharacterized. The transcript has 3 exons. Lineage: Eukaryota; Viridiplantae; Streptophyta; Magnoliopsida; Solanales; Solanaceae. The record is from RefSeq and is a predicted model, not a curated record.